UGGGGUGCGAUCGCAUUGCCCUGCCCUGCAUCUCCUGAGCCUGCCCACGUAACUUCUGAGUACAAACCCAGAGAUUGUUUGUAUUCGUGCUUAGUGUCGCUUCCAUGUGUUGCAACUUGCUGUGUUCCCUGGGGACUGCCUUGUUUGUCCAUUUGCUUCUGUGACACCCGCUGUUAGAGUCGAGUCUGUUCCCCCAGCCUCUGCUCUCAUAACCCCGGGCUGUCACCUUCCUCUUCCUGUUGGUGCUGUGCACACCUUGAGCUCCUCCCUCACCUGGGAUCUUCUGCGCUAGCACCUGCCUCGAUUCCCCGGCUUCUGGAAGCGCCGCCUCUUCACCUGGAUUUGCCAACAGCUGUGCUUUGGUGCCUCAGCCUGUCCUACUGCCGACUCAGGAAAGAAUGAGCAUUUUCAGCCUUAGAGUCAAGGUUGUCCCGGGCCAGGUAUGUUACCCACGAAGGCACGGAGGGUCCCAGAGCACCUGCAGAAGGGGCAAGUGAGCCCCACUGG
This is a long non-coding RNA of Hipposideros armiger (great roundleaf bat), 507 nucleotides long. RefSeq lists it as uncharacterized. NCBI's taxonomy places the organism in Eukaryota, Metazoa, Chordata, Mammalia, Chiroptera, Hipposideridae. The record is from RefSeq and is a predicted model, not a curated record. The transcript is spliced from 3 exons.